RNAcentral lists this ribosomal RNA (460 nucleotides) under uncultured bacterium. Its description in RNAcentral is "partial 16S ribosomal RNA". It matches the Rfam family "Bacterial small subunit ribosomal RNA", at positions 338 to 795 of the family's 1533-position model. The record is from RNAcentral.
CCUACGGGUGGCAGCAGUGAGGAAUAUUGGUCAAUGGGCGCAACCCUGAACCAGCCAAGUAGCGUGAAGGAUGACUGCCCUAUGGGUUGUAAACUUCUUUUAUACAGGAAUAAACUGAGGCACGUGUGCCUUAUUGCAUGUACCUUAUGAAUAAGGACCGGCUAAUUCCGUGCCAGCAGCCGCGGUAAUACGGAGGGUCCGAGCGUUAUCCGGAUUUAGUGGGUUUAAAGGGAGCGUAGAUGGGGUGUUAAGUGUGUUGUGAAAGUCCGCGGCUCAACCGUAAAAUUGCAGUGGAUACUGGCAGCCUUGAGUACAGAUGAGGUGGGCGGAAUUCGUGGUGUAGCGGUGAAAUGCUUGGAUAUAACGAAGAACUCCGAUUGCGAAGGCAGCUUACGGAAGUGCUACUGACACUGAGGCUCGAAAGUGUGGGUAUCAAACAGGAUUAGAUACCCUAGUAGUC